RNAcentral lists this long non-coding RNA (1319 nucleotides) under Gallus gallus (chicken). Its description in RNAcentral is "lncRNA (ENSGALG00010000160.1)". Lineage: Eukaryota; Metazoa; Chordata; Aves; Galliformes; Phasianidae. The record is from RNAcentral.
GGCGGGCGUGAUGGCGUCCGCCCGGCGUGGCCGCCGUUGCGCUUUGUGCCUUUCCGGCCUGGUCGUGUUGUGUGUGGGCGUUAAAGGCGCCCGAAGCGAUUUGGCAGUGAGUGUCGAUGUGCUGUUCUGGACCCUCCUGUGCGGGUGAUGUCACCAUGACGUGAUGACCUCACAGAUGCCCUGGGGUGGGGCAGGGGCAGUGGGUCAGCGCGGAACCUGCUGGCCCCAUUCUGCGGGUGGUGCUGGUCCAGCGAGGAGCUGUGCGAGUGGUGCAGUAAUGCGGGCCCAGUGUGUCAGCAGAAGAUUAAGGGCGGUGUGGCGUGCGAAGCUGGUGGAGGAGGAGCUGCUGGCUCAUGCGGCCGUGGAGAAGUGCAAGGCCGUGGCCAGGGAAUCCUUGAUGAAGGAUGCCCAGAAAUUACGGGCAGAAAGAACAGCUGCCAGGAAAGAGAAGCUGAAGCAGGAGAAGCAUCUCGUUGCCCAGCUGGAAGAGCAGCUGCAGGCUGAGACAGAGGAGAUGGAGGUGCUGCGCCAGGAAAAACAGCACCUGCAAGAGGAGCGGGAGGAGCUGGAGCUGGAGGGUGCCUGGCAGCAGCAUCAGCUGGAGCUGGAGGCAGCCCACGUGCCUGGGGCUGUGCUGCCGAAGCUGGUGGAGGCAGAGCUGGAGAAGAAGGAGCAGGCGAGGAGACGAGGGCUCGCCUUCUGGAUGAAGACAAUCUGCCUCAUCUUCGUCAGCCUCCUGCUGCUGCUCGUUGCUGUGCUGGGCUCUGCAGUGCUGUACGCCCAGCACUAUGACCAGGAGCUGUUGUAUCGGCUCCUGCUGCGAGUGCUGCCCCAGGCAAUGUACGCUUCCCCGGCGUACUUUGCGAGCAGGAGCCUGCGUGUCGUCUGUGAUGGGCUGCUGCCCAUCUGACCGCCCCUCUCAGUCCCCCCUCCCAGCUCGGGGCUGCGCAGUGGUGGGGUGCAGGGAGAGAGCUCUGUCCCCACGGAAGGGGCCUCUCCUGUGCUCCUGCCCCCAGGGGCGCACAGGCACAGCUGUGGGGCAGUGCCGGCAGGCGGCUGAGUGCUGGGACUUUGGACUUACAAAUAAGUUGGUACUGUCGUCGUCAACUGAACACCACCACCUCCGACGACCCAUCAGACUGAAGAUGUGCACCUGACGCCAGGACGUGGCUUCUUGGAUUCUUUGAGUCUUCGUAGCAGCCAUUUCCUUCAGCUGGUUACCUGUAAGGCUUAUGAAUUGUAAUUAGCCCAUUAGGCAAUGUUACCUCCAGUGGGCUGUUGUCAGUUGUUAAGAAUGCUGUCAAUAAAUGGAUGUGUAU